GACGAACGCUGGCGGCGUGCCUAAUACAUGCAAGUCGAACGCAGUGGGGACGGGUGAGUAACCCGUGGGUAAACUCCCAUAAGAGGGGAUAACACUUGGAAACAGGUGCUAAACCGAUACUGAUGGAUGGACCCGCGGUGCAUGAGCUAGUUGGGGAGGUAACGGCUCACCAAGGCCACGAUGCCUUGCAGACCGAAGAGUGUGAUCGUCAACACUGGAACUGAUACACGGCCCAGACGCCUACGGGAGGCAGCAGUAGGGAAUCUUCGGCAAUGGACGAAAGUCUGACCGAGCAACGCCGCGUGAGUGAAGAAGGUUUUCGGAUCGUAAAACUCUGUUGUUAGAUAAGCGGUAUCUAACCAGAAAGCCACGGCUAACUACGUGCCAGCAGCCGCGGUAAUUC
RNAcentral lists this ribosomal RNA (403 nucleotides) under uncultured bacterium. Its description in RNAcentral is "partial 16S ribosomal RNA". It matches the Rfam family "Bacterial small subunit ribosomal RNA", at positions 28 to 526 of the family's 1533-position model. The record is from RNAcentral.